AUGUGGCUUAAUUCGAUGCAACACGAAGAACCUUACCUGGACUUGACAUGUUUCUGUAAGUCCGGAGAUACCCGGUCCCUUCCAGUUUACUGGAACAGUUUCACAGGUGGUGCAUGGUUGUCGUCAGCUCGUGUCGUGAGAUGUAAGGUUAAGUCCUUAAACGAGCGUAACCUUUGUCAUUAGUUGCCACCGGUUCGGCCGAGCACUCUAAUGAGUCCGCUAGCGACAAGUUAGACCCAGAUGGAGAUGACGUCAAAUCCUCACGUCCCUUAUGUCUAGGGCCGCACACAUGCGACAAUGGUAGAGACAGCGGGUUGCGACGGGGUAAGCAUGAGCUAAUCCAUANACUCUGCCUCAGUACAGAUCGAGGGCUGAAAUUCGACCUCGUGAAGAUGGAGUUGCUAGUAAACGCAGGUCAGCUACUCCUGCGUUGAUACGUUCCCGGGGAUUGUACACACCGCCCGUCACACCACCCGAGUCGUGUGCACCCGAAGUCGUUACCCUAACAGGGGAAGG
RNAcentral lists this ribosomal RNA (516 nucleotides) under uncultured organism. Its description in RNAcentral is "bacterial SSU rRNA". It matches the Rfam family "Bacterial small subunit ribosomal RNA", at positions 939 to 1450 of the family's 1533-position model. The record is from RNAcentral.